Molecule: non-coding RNA, 560 nt
Organism: Coturnix japonica (Japanese quail)
Lineage: Eukaryota; Metazoa; Chordata; Aves; Galliformes; Phasianidae
Source: RefSeq, a predicted model, not a curated record
CAUCCACCACCAACAUGGCUUGCUGUUUUUCAAGGGCAGUAUCUUGAAAUUGUUGUAAUACAAGAAGAAUUUUAUGGAGCAGCAGCCAUGGAUCAAGAUAAGGAGUUCACAGAGCAGCAGCUACGGAGCAGGAUAAAACUACAUGAGAACUAAUUGAACAAAUGAACUGAAUUGCUUGUGAAAUAUGAUUAGUUGGUCAGUAAACCGAGCCUUUUCAGCCUAAAAGAAAACGGGGGAAAUGUAGAGAGUUUUAUUUACAGCUGGCUAGCUGAGAAGGGUCGUAAACACAGUGCAGCCAAGCAAGCAGCCGUACCACCUGCAAGGACAGCAAGAACAACAGGAUGCCCUGUGAUGGUGAGAAACUAGCCAUGGUUUUGGGAACUCAGCAAAGGAGUAACUUUCAGGAUGAUAACAACAAGUUGCAAAGAUACUUGGGGAUGGUAUGUAAUUGGGAACCAAUGAUGAGCUCUGCUUUUGCAAUAUGUAUGAGCUAAUUAUCCGUACUAUAAAGGUACAUGCAGCCAAGGAAUAAACAAGAUUAGCUGAUCAUAUGUCAAUGA